Molecule: non-coding RNA, 286 nt
Filed under: Marmota monax (woodchuck)
Lineage: Eukaryota; Metazoa; Chordata; Mammalia; Rodentia; Sciuridae
Source: RNAcentral
CAGUUAGAUCAUCUAGUUGAACAGCAACUUCAAUUAGGACAUCUCCAGUGGUCGGUGAGCCCAUGGAACUCUCCUGUUUUUGUGAUAAAAAGGCUAAUGGUAAAUGGAGGUUUCUUCAUGAUCUCAGGAAAAUCAAUGAGAGAAUGCUACCCUUUGGGACCCCACAAUGGGGAGUGCCCUGGGUGCCUGCUAUCCCAAAUAACUACCACUUGAUGAUCAUAGAUAUCAAAUAUUGUUUCUUUUCUAUACCCUUACAUCCUGAGGACACUGAAAAAUUCGCCUUUUC